This 530-nucleotide ribosomal RNA is filed under the name uncultured bacterium. RNAcentral describes it as "bacterial SSU rRNA". It matches the Rfam family "Bacterial small subunit ribosomal RNA", at positions 776 to 1304 of the family's 1533-position model. The record is from RNAcentral.
UAAUAGAUACCCUGGUAGUCCACGCCGUAAACGAUGAGUGCUAAGUGUUAGAGGGUUUCCGCCCGUUUAGUGCUGCAGCUAACGCAUUAAGCACUCCGCCUGGGGAGUACGGCCGCAAGGCUGAAACUCAAAGGAAUUGACGGGGGCCCGCACAAGCGGUGGAGCAUGUGGUUUAAUUCGAAGCAACGCGAAGAACCUUACCAGGUCUUGACAUCCUCUGACAACCCUAGAGAUAGGGCGUUCCCCUUCGGGGGACAGAGUGACAGGUGGUGCAUGGUUGUCGUCAGCUCGUGUCGUGAGAUGUUGGGUUAAGUCCCGCAACGAGCGCAACCCUUGACCUUAGUUGCCAGCAUUCAGUUGGGCACUCUAAGGUGACUGCCGGUGACAAACCGGAGGAAGGUGGGGAUGACGUCAAAUCAUCAUGCCCCUUAUGACCUGGGCUACACACGUGCUACAAUGGAUGGUACAAGGGCUGCGAGACCGCGAGGUUAAGCCAAUCCCAUAAAACCAUUCUCAGUUCGGAUUGCAGG